Molecule: ribosomal RNA, 274 nt
Filed under: uncultured bacterium
Lineage: Bacteria
Description: partial 16S ribosomal RNA
Rfam family: Bacterial small subunit ribosomal RNA
Source: RNAcentral
AUACGGAGGGUGCAAGCGUUAUUCGGAAUCACUGGGCGUAAAGGACGCGUAGGCGGGUUGGCAAGUCAGAUGUGAAAUCCUACAGCUUAACUGUAGAACUGCAUUUGAAACUGCUAACCUAGAGUAUGGGAGGGGGAGAUGGAAUUAGUGGUGUAGGGGUAAAAUCCGUAGAUAUCACCAGGAAUACCGAAAGCGAAGGCGAUCUCCUGGAACAUAACUGACGCUAAGGCGUGAAAGCGUGGGGAGCAAACAGGAUUAGAUACCCCAGUAGUCC